Molecule: transfer RNA, 74 nt
Filed under: Corynebacterium rouxii
Lineage: Bacteria; Bacillati; Actinomycetota; Actinomycetes; Mycobacteriales; Corynebacteriaceae
Description: tRNA-Trp
Rfam family: tRNA
About the family: Transfer RNA (tRNA) molecules are approximately 80 nucleotides in length. Their secondary structure includes four short double-helical elements and three loops (D, anti-codon, and T loops).
Source: RNAcentral
GCGCCAUUAGCUCAACUGGAUGGAGCAGCGGUCUCCAAAGCCGUAAGAUGCACGUUCGAAUCGUGCAUGGUGCG